GUUGUAUGGUUAAGUGACUAAGCGUACACGGUGGAUGCCUUGGCAGUUGGAGGCGAUGAAGGACGUAUUAACUUGCGAUAAGCUUAGUCGAGCUAGUAAAAAGCACUUGAGACUAAGAUUUCCGAAUGGGGAAACCCACCUGUUUACAGGUAUCGUUAACUGAAUACAUAGGUUAACGAGGCGAACGCGGAGAACUGAAACAUCUAAGUACCCGUAGGAAAAGAAAUCAACCGAGAUUCCGGAAGUAGCGGCGAGCGAAACCGGAACAGCCCUUAAGCUUAUUUGUGAUUAGUGGAAUGCUCUGGAAAGUGCAGCGACACAGGGUGAUAGCCCCGUACAUGAAAAUCUAUAGUAAGUGAAAUCGAGUAGGUCGGGACACGUGUUAUCUUGACUGAAUAUAGGGGGACCAUCCUCUAAGGCUAAAUACUCCCAACUGACCGAUAGUGAACCAGUACCGUGAGGGAAAGGCGAAAAGAACCCCUGUGAGGGGAGUGAAAUAGAACCUGAAACCGUGUACGUACAAGCAGUAGGAGCAUACUUGUUAUGUGACUGCGUACCUUUUGUAUAAUGGGUCAGCGACUUAUAUUUUGUAGCGAGGUUAACCAAUUAGGGGAGCCGUAGGGAAACCGAGUCUUAACUGGGCGUAUAGUUGCAAGGUAUAGACCCGAAACCCGGUGAUCUAGCCAUGGGCAGGUUGAAGGUUGAGUAACAUCAACUGGAGGACCGAACCCACUAACGUUGAAAAGUUAGGGGAUGACUUGUGGCUAGGAGUGAAAGGCUAAUCAAACCGGGAGAUAGCUGGUUCUCCCCGAAAUCUAUUUAGGUAGAGCCUCGGACGAAUACUUACGGGGGUAGAGCACUGUUAAGGCUAGGGGGUCAUCCCGACUUACCAACCCUUUGCAAACUCCGAAUACCGUAAAGUAMUAUCCGGGAGACACACGGCGGGUGCUAACGUCCGUCGUGAAGAGGGAAACAACCCAGACCGCCAGCUAAGGUCCCAAAGUGUAUGUUAAGUGGGAAACGAUGUGGAAAGGCCCAGACAGCCAGGAGGUUGGCUUAGAAGCAGCCAUCCUUUAAAGAAAGCGUAAUAGCUCACUGGUCGAGUCGGUCUGCGCGGAAGAUGUAACGGGGCUAAACAUACCACCGAAGCUGCGGCUGCAUACUUAUGUAUGCGGGGUAGGGGAGCGUUCUGUAAGCCGUUGAAGGUGAACCGGGAGGUUUGCUGGAGGUAUCAGAAGUGCGAAUGCUGACAUGAGUAACGAUAAUGCGGGUGAAAAACCCGCACGCCGGAAGACCAAGGGUUCCUAUCCCAUGUUAAUCAGGGUAGGGUGAGUCGACCCCUAAGGCGAGGCGGAAACGCGUAGUCGAUGGGAAACGGGUUAAUAUUCCCGUACUCGGCAUGAAUGCGAUGGGGAGACGGAGCAGGCUAGGCAAGCAUGGCGUUGGUUGUCCAUGUGAAAGUAAGUAGGUUGAGAACUUAGGCAAAUCCGGGUUCUUAAGACUGAGAUACGAGACGAGUCACUACGGUGAUGAAGUUGUUGAUGCCAUACUUCCAGGAAAAUCCUCUAAGCUUCAGUUCAUGCUGAAUCGUACCCCAAACCGACACAGGUGGUCAGGUAGAGAAUACUAAGGCGCUUGAGAGAACUCGGGUGAAGGAACUAGGCAAAAUAGUACCGUAACUUCGGGAGAAGGUACGCUGCUGACGGUGAUAGGACUUGCUCCUUAAGCUGUUGGCAGUCACAGUAACCAGGUGGCUGGGACUGUUUAUUAAAAACACAGCACUGUGCAAAAUCGAAAGAUGACGUAUACGGUGUGACACCUGCCCGGUGCCGGAAGGUUAAUUGAUGGGGUUAUCUUCGGAGAAGCUCUUGAUCGAAGCCCCGGUAAACGGCGGCCGUAACUAUAACGGUCCUAAGGUAGCGAAAUUCCUUGUCGGGUAAGUUCCGACCUGCACGAAUGGUGUAACCAUGGCCACGCUGUCUCCACCCGAGACUCAGUGAAAUUGAAAUCGCAGUGAAGAUGCUGUGUACCCGCGGCUAGACGGAAAGACCCCGUGAACCUUUACUACAGCUUGGCACUGAACAUUGAACCUACAUGUGUAGGAUAGGUGGGAGACUUUGAAGCAGCGACGCUAGUUGUUGUGGAGUCGUCCUUGAAAUACCACCCUUGUAGUUUUGAUGUUCUAACGUAGGCCCCUAAUCGGGGUUGCGGACAGUGCCUGGUGGGUAGUUUGACUGGGGCGGUCUCCUCCCAAAGAGUAACGGAGGAGCACGAAGGUUUGCUAAGUACGGUCGGACAUCGUACGGUUAGUGUAAUGG
This 2318-nucleotide ribosomal RNA is filed under the name Pseudoalteromonas ulvae. RNAcentral's name for it is "bacterial LSU rRNA". It matches the Rfam family "Bacterial large subunit ribosomal RNA", at positions 1 to 2357 of the family's 2925-position model. Lineage: Bacteria; Pseudomonadati; Pseudomonadota; Gammaproteobacteria; Alteromonadales; Pseudoalteromonadaceae. The record is from RNAcentral.